RNAcentral lists this ribosomal RNA (497 nucleotides) under uncultured bacterium. Its description in RNAcentral is "partial 16S ribosomal RNA". It matches the Rfam family "Bacterial small subunit ribosomal RNA", at positions 28 to 507 of the family's 1533-position model. The record is from RNAcentral.
GAUGAACGCUGGCGGCGUGCCUAAUACAUGCAAGUCGAGCGAACAGACGAGGAGCUUGCUCCUCUGACGUUAGCGGCGGACGGGUGAGUAACACGUGGAUAACCUACCUAUAAUACUGGGAUAACUUCGGGAAACCGGAGCUAAUACCGGAUAAUAUAUUGAACCGCAUGGUUCAAUAGUGAAAGAGGGUUUUGCUGUCACUUAUAGAUGGAUCCGCGCCGAAUUAGCUAGUUGGUAAGGUAACGGCUUACCAAGGCAACGAUGCGUAGCCGACCUGAGAGGGUGAUCGGCCACACUGGAACUGAGACACGGUCCAGACUCCUACGGGAGGCAGCAGUAGGGAAUCUUCCGCAAUGGGCGAAAGCCUGACGGAGCAACGCCGCGUGAGUGAUGAAGGUCUUCGGAUCGUAAAACUCUGUUAUUAGGAAAGAACAAAUGUGUAAGUAACUAUGCACGUCUUGACGGUACCUAAUCAGAAAGCCACGGCUAACUACGUG